This 329-nucleotide ribosomal RNA is filed under the name uncultured eukaryote. Its description in RNAcentral is "partial 18S ribosomal RNA". It matches the Rfam family "Eukaryotic small subunit ribosomal RNA", at positions 1470 to 1796 of the family's 1831-position model. The record is from RNAcentral.
CCCCUAGAUGUUCUGGGCCGCACGCGCGCUACACUGAACAGUUCAACAAGUCUUAACCUUGGCCGAUAGGUCUGGGUAAUCUUUGAACGCUGUUCGUGAUUGGGAUAGACCUUUGCAAUUAUGGGUCUUCAACGAGGAAUUCCUAGUAAACGCAAGUCAUCAGCUUGCAUUGAUUACGUCCCUACCCUUUGUACACACCGCCCGUCGCACCUACCGAUUGAAGUUUUCGGUGAAUUUACUGAAGAUCCCUUUUGAAGGUGGUUCGCCACUGGACGAAGUAUUCAAAAGUAAAUGAAUCGANUNCUUUAGNGGAAGGAGAANUCGUANCA